RNAcentral lists this ribosomal RNA (468 nucleotides) under uncultured bacterium. RNAcentral's name for it is "partial 16S ribosomal RNA". It matches the Rfam family "Bacterial small subunit ribosomal RNA", at positions 28 to 507 of the family's 1533-position model. The record is from RNAcentral.
GACGAACGCUGGCGGCGUGCUUAACACAUGCAAGUCGAACGGAAAGGCCCUGCUUUUGUGGGGUGCUCGAGUGGCGAACGGGUGAGUAACACGUGUGUAACCUGCCCUUGACUUUGGGAUAACUUCAGGAAACUGGGGCUACUACCGUAUAGGAGCUCCUGCUGCAUGGUGGGGGUUGGAUAGUUUCGGCGGUCGGGGAUGGACUCGCGGCUUAUCAGCUUGUUGGUGGGGUAGUGGCUUACCAAGGCUUUGACGGGUAGCCGGCCUGGGAGGGUGACCGGCCACCAUGGGACUGCGAUACGGACCAGUGUCCUACGGGAGGCAGCAGUGGGGAACAUUGCACAAUGAGCCGAAGCCUGAUGCGGAAACGCCGCGUGCGUGAUGACGGCCUUCGGGUUGUAAAACGCUUUCGCCUGUGACGAAGCGGGAGUGACGGUAAUGAGUAAAGAAGCACCGGCUAACUACGUG